RNAcentral lists this transfer RNA (66 nucleotides) under Olidiana obliquea. RNAcentral describes it as "tRNA-Met". It matches the Rfam family "tRNA". Rfam says of the family: Transfer RNA (tRNA) molecules are approximately 80 nucleotides in length. Their secondary structure includes four short double-helical elements and three loops (D, anti-codon, and T loops). Lineage: Eukaryota; Metazoa; Arthropoda; Insecta; Hemiptera; Cicadellidae. The record is from RNAcentral.
AAAAAGAUAAGCUAAAUAAGCUGUUAGGCUCAUAACCUAAAUAUAGGAAUAUAUUCCUUCUUUUUA